UGCAGCAACGCCGCGUGAGGGAUGACGGCCUUCGGGUUGUAAACCUCUUUUAGUAGGGAAGAAGGGCAUCGGCUUGACGGUACCUGCAGAAAAAGCACCGGCUAACUACGUGCCAGCAGCCGCGGUAAUACGUAGGGUGCGAGCGUUGUCCGGAAUUAUUGGGCGUAAAGAGCUCGUAGGCGGUUUGUCACGUCUGCUGUGAAAUCCCGAGGCUCAACCUCGGGCCUGCAGUGGGUACGGGCAGACUGGAGUGCGGUAGGGGAGAAUGGAAUUCCUGGUGUAGCGGUGGAAUGCGCAGAUAUCAGGAGGAACACCGAUGGCGAAGGCAGUUCUCUGGGCCGUAACUGACGCUGAGGAGCGAAAGCGUGGGGAGCGAACAGGAUUAGAUACCCUGGUAGUCCACGCCGUAAACGUUGGGCGCUAGAUGUGGGGACCUUUCCACGGUUUCCGUGUCGUAGCUAACGCAUUAAGCGCCCCGCCUGGGGAGUACGGCCGCAAGGCUAAAACUCAAAGGAAUUGACGGGGGCCCGCACAAGCGGCGGAGCAUGCGGAUUAAUUCGAUGCAACGCGAAGAACCUUACCAAGGCUUGACAUAACCGAGAACGCCGCAGAAAUGUGGAACUC
RNAcentral lists this ribosomal RNA (624 nucleotides) under Agromyces sp. So3Pw_1030. RNAcentral's name for it is "bacterial SSU rRNA". It matches the Rfam family "Bacterial small subunit ribosomal RNA", at positions 387 to 1016 of the family's 1533-position model. The record is from RNAcentral. Lineage: Bacteria; Bacillati; Actinomycetota; Actinomycetes; Micrococcales; Microbacteriaceae.